Molecule: ribosomal RNA, 200 nt
Filed under: uncultured eukaryote
Lineage: Eukaryota
Description: partial 18S ribosomal RNA
Rfam family: Eukaryotic small subunit ribosomal RNA
Source: RNAcentral
GCUCCAAUAGCGUAUAUUAAAGUUGUUGCGGUUAAAAAGCUCGUAGUUGGAUUUCUGCUGAGAACGGGCGGUCCGCACUAUGUGCGUGUAUCUGUUACGGUCUUGGCAUCCUCUUGGGCAGCGCGUCCGUGCUUGAUUGCAUGGCGCGGCAUCCAAGACUUUUUACUUUGAGGAAAUUAGAGUGUUCACGGCAGGCAUAC